RNAcentral lists this non-coding RNA (104 nucleotides) under Karenia brevis. The record is from RNAcentral. Lineage: Eukaryota; Dinophyceae; Gymnodiniales; Kareniaceae.
AAGCUGCGGUUCACCAGGACUAUGCGAUUUUUGCGCGUGAGGCACAGACGGCAGCAGCCAAAAGUGCACAUCCGCGUGCGUGUGAGGAGCUCCUGCGCCUUGCA